CCAGGAAAGAGGAGAAGGAUUUCUCUAACAUAUAGAGUGUACUGGAUCCUUUUGAUUUCUCAACUCUUCAUUUUCCUUUCCCAGUGGAUGGAUGCAAAAAAUUUUAUCUGAAUAAUCCUAAGGGCCCACUGUUCGCUCCUGUUCCCACCAUCCUCUGAACCAUUGGAGACUGUGCAUUGCUCAGGAAGACAUUCUGGAUUUGGAGAGCUGGUGCUUCUGGUGACAUUGAGAAAUCUCUCAGCUGCCUGGCUAUGCUGAACGCUACUCCUGACUGGUCUGCACUUGGACAUCUAGCCAGAAACCAUGAGUGUCACCAUCCAGCCAAUUUUUUAUCCACCAAGGGGUUCACACACCAAAACCAUUGUCUCUCCAGCUUAGAGGCAAGGAUGUCAUGUGAGACAAUGUCAGAUGCUCGGCACAAGUCCAGGUAAAUGUCAUUUGUUGCUCUUCCCUUAUCUACCAAUACUGUUACCCUGUCAUAAAAGGUCACCAGUUUUGUCAGGUACAAUUUCCUCUUAAUGGGGCCAUGUGGGCUGUCACCACCAAGUUCUUUAUUCUCUAUGUGACUUAGCCCAUGUUCCAGGAGGAAUUCUUUGUAAAAAUAGGUGUUAUAUUUCUUUUUUUCCUGUCAGUAGGAACUUUACAAGGCUAACAUGAUUUCCCAAAUAUGAUGUAUAGUGGCUUAGCCACUUCAUCUGUCAGUUGCCUCAGGACCUGAGGAUGCGUCUCAUCAGGUCACAUGGACCCAUGAAAUGUUGGAGUUCAAGAUCCUGGAGGCAGCAAGGGGCUAAAAAUCUCCUGAAAGUUCUAUGAAGGUCACAGACUACUAAAGCAUUUGUUUGAAUUUUAUAAAGCAUUCAUAGUAUAUAAGACAAAAAAUAAAUAUGCUUUCCUGAAACAGGUACUUUAUCUUCUUUCCUUCUGAUUUCCUAUUGUCAUGGGCACAUACAUUUUCAGAAAUAAAAUUAAAACAAAAAAUAAACAAAACCAGAAAGUGUUGGAUGAAUGAAUUGUGCAGACAAAGCAAGUGUCACUCCAAAUGUGGGGAACUGGAACGUUUGGAUUUAGCAGUCUCCUUUUUCAUAGCCAUCUCUGCAUUUCUCUACAGAAGGUAAGAGGGCUAUUGAUCACAUUUGACCUAGACCAUUUCCAGCGUGGAUAUUUACAUAUGAAUGAGACAUCAUAGAAAACUCUUAUGGAUACUAAAAACAGAAAGGUUUGCAGGGACUCAUCACUUGACCAGUUUUAGAUGUCUGACAUUUUGGAUGAAAUGUUCAUGUAUAGUGGAAAGAAUCUGUCUGAGCAACAUUUUUAAAUGAAGAAGUAAAAAAAGACAGGAAAUGGAAGAGAACUAAACAUGGAAACUCUUGCCAUAUGCUCAUAACACCUGAGUGCAAGCUCUAGGACAGAUUCAAUGACAAUAGUGAAAAUUCAAAGGGAACUGAAAUGCUUUCCAGCAACAAAUGCAACAGACUUCCAACAACAUUCAGGUGAUUUCUGACAAGAAAAUUAGAUUACAUGUAACUCAAGGAAGGCAUGUAUGAAUAUGUAAAGGUGCCUAAAUUUAGGUACUGAAAACUUCGAAGACAAAUAAUAAGAAAGCUGGGUACCUCUCAGGGUACUCAACAAAAUACAGUGUUUUAUUUAGGUACAACUUAAACUGCAAUCUAUCCUAACAUGUCUACCUUUGAAAGAUAGUGAAUAGCAUUAGAAUUGCAAACCUAUAUUUUUUUAGCAAUAUAAGA
Cyanistes caeruleus (blue tit) is the source of this 1745-nucleotide long non-coding RNA. RefSeq lists it as uncharacterized. NCBI's taxonomy places the organism in Eukaryota, Metazoa, Chordata, Aves, Passeriformes, Paridae. The record is from RefSeq and is a predicted model, not a curated record.